ANGNNNUNCAGAAUUCAGUGAUCAUCGAAUCUUUGAACGCACAUUGCGCCCGUCAGUAUUCUGGCGGGCAUGCCUGUUCGAGCGUCAUUACGCCCCUCAAGUCCCCUGUGGACUUGGUGUUGGGGAUCGGCGAGGCUGGUUUUCCAGCACAGCCGUCCCUUAAAUUAAUUGGCGGUCUCGCCGUGGCCCUCCUCUGCGCAGUAGUAAAGCACUCGCAACAGGAGCCCGGCGCGGUCCACUGCCGUAAAACCCCCCAACUUUUUAUAGUUGACCUCGAAUCAGGUAGGACUACCCGCUGAACUUAAGCAUAUCAAUAAGCGGAGGAG
Molecule: ribosomal RNA, 326 nt
Filed under: Metarhizium anisopliae
Lineage: Eukaryota; Fungi; Ascomycota; Sordariomycetes; Hypocreales; Clavicipitaceae
Description: eukaryotic LSU rRNA
Rfam family: 5.8S ribosomal RNA (bases 1-87)
Source: RNAcentral